RNAcentral lists this unclassified non-coding RNA (337 nucleotides) under soil metagenome. Its description in RNAcentral is "partial contains 5.8S ribosomal RNA, internal transcribed spacer 2, and large subunit ribosomal RNA". The stretch from base 1 to 120 matches the Rfam family "5.8S ribosomal RNA", at positions 35 to 154 of the family's 154-position model. The record is from RNAcentral.
GAUGAAGAACGUAGUGAAAUGCGAUAAGUAGUGUGAAUUGCAGAAUUCAGUGAAUCAUCGAAUCUUUGAACGCACAUUGCGCCCCUUGGUAUUCCAUGGGGCAUGCCUGUUCGAGCGUCAUUUGUACCUUCAAGCUCUGCUUGGUGUUGGGUGUUUGUCUCGCCUCUGCGCGCAGACUCGCCUCAAAACAAUUGGCAGCCGGCGUAUUGAUUUCGGAGCGCAGUACAUCUCGCGCUUUGCACUCAUAACGACGACGUCCAAAAGUACAUUUUUACACUCUUGACCUCGGAUCAGGUAGGGAUACCCGCUGAACUUAAGCAUAUCAAUAAGCGGAGGA